Vidua macroura (Pin-tailed whydah) is the source of this 722-nucleotide long non-coding RNA. RefSeq lists it as uncharacterized. Lineage: Eukaryota; Metazoa; Chordata; Aves; Passeriformes; Viduidae. The record is from RefSeq and is a predicted model, not a curated record. The transcript is spliced from 2 exons.
ACAUCACCCCAACCUUGCUGCUUUUCAGAAGCCACAGGCUCUGUCCCCUGGCACUCUGUCUAGGACUCCUGCAGGCACACACGCAAGGACCAGGUGCAGGGCGCUGAGGAAGCCCUAGAGGAGAGACUUUGCUACAAGGGGCAGCAUGAGCCAGCUGCCACCAGCAGGGCCAUCGGAAAUGGCAGCAGCAGAUGGCCUGUGCCCCAUCUGCCUGGGUGACCUUGAAAAUGCCACCUAUGUGGAGGUCUGUCGGCAUCACUUUUGCUUUGUCUGUAUCUGGGAAUGGGCCAAACUGACAGAGACCUGCCCAUUGUGCAAGCAGCCCUUCAAGCGACUGCUGUGUGCUGUGACAGUGGACAACAACCAUGAGGAACAUGUGUCUGGCUGGUCUGCCCGCCGCCAAAGAAGGCAGCCAGGACCCAGAGCAGAUCCCCACGGUGGCGCUACAACCUGAGUCGCUGUGCUGACACCCAGCCCUCCACGGGAAAAAGGGAGACUGUGGGGACACACUGAGUGCAGAGGGAUCCAGCAGCUGUGGGGCCUUCCAAUGCCACUUCUCAGCAGGCUGCUGCAGCCAGCACUUUCAUGACAGAACAUCACUGAGCACAAGGGAGCACCUGGCCAGCCCUGCUGCUACAUAUAUCCCAGCUGCAGCAGCCCUGCUGCUGCUCCUACAACAGUCUGACCUCUUUCACUUGCAAUAAACAGCCAGAUGCUUUCAA